UACGGAGGGUGCGAGCGUUGUCCGGAAUCACUGGGCGUAAAGGGCGCGUAGGCGGCGCGGGCAGUCAACGGUGAAAGCUUGGGGCUCAACCCCGAGUCGGCCGUCGAUACUCCCGGGCUGGAGCACUGUAGAGGCAGGUGGAAUUCCGGGUGUAGCGGUGGAAUGCGUAGAGAUGCGGAGGAACACCGAUGGCGAAGGCAGCCCCCUGGGCCAACACUGACGCUCAGGCACGAAAGCCAGGGGAGCGAACGGG
This 253-nucleotide ribosomal RNA is filed under the name uncultured bacterium. Its description in RNAcentral is "partial 16S ribosomal RNA". It matches the Rfam family "Bacterial small subunit ribosomal RNA", at positions 524 to 776 of the family's 1533-position model. The record is from RNAcentral.